UCUCCGUAGGUGAACCUGCGGAGGGAUCAUUACUGAGUGAGGGCCCCCGGCCCGACCUCCAACCCUUUGUGUAUCUCGACCCUGUUGCCUCGGGGGCGACCCGGCCUUCGGGCGUCGGGGCCCCCGGUGGACCACCCAACCCUGCAUCGUUGCGUCUGAGUCGAAAUAUAAAGCAAUCAAAACUUUCAAAAACGGAUCUCUUGGUGCUGGCAUCGAUGAAGAAAGCAGC
Molecule: unclassified non-coding RNA, 229 nt
Filed under: uncultured fungus
Lineage: Eukaryota; Fungi
Description: sequence contains ITS1, 5.8S rRNA gene
Source: RNAcentral